CCCCUAGACGUUCUGGGCUGCACGCGCGCUACAAUAAUACGCACAGCGAGUAUCACCGAGCUCGAAAGGGCAAGGUAAACAAUAGAAAAGGUACUGUAAUGGUUAUAGAUCCUUGUAAUUAUUGAUCUUCAACGAGGAAUUCCUAGUAAGUAUGUGUCAUCAUCACGCACUGAUUACGUCCCUGCCCUUUGUACACACCGCCCGUCGCUCCUGCCGAUUGGGUGAGCCGAUGAAACUCUCGGAUGUAGGCUAUUCAUAGCCCGCAGAAGAGAUUUGAAUCGUAGCGCUUAGAGGAAGGAGAAGUCGUAACA
RNAcentral lists this ribosomal RNA (311 nucleotides) under uncultured eukaryote. Its description in RNAcentral is "partial 18S ribosomal RNA". It matches the Rfam family "Eukaryotic small subunit ribosomal RNA", at positions 1470 to 1796 of the family's 1831-position model. The record is from RNAcentral.